UCCAUGGCGACGCAGUGUUUUUGUUAACACGCGCGUGAGUCAGAGCAGCAGUGAGUCACAGUCAGGAGGAAAUUCUCUCUGUUCUCGAUUCACACAGCCACACACUCUCACCGAAGCCAAAUAAGGACAACAGCUCGGAGAGAAAGACGGGAAAUCUGUCCUGUCAGUGGCCGGCUGCGAGUUUUGUCUAUACUGGAGUCGGACACUCCCUCUGAGACACAGCUGCUAUAAGGUUCCUCUCACGCUCUGAACGGAGGACAUACAGAGAGAGAAAGCCGUCCGAUCACCCAGGUAAGAGGCCAGUGUCACACUUCUGAACUUUGAAUAACAUCUGCAUGUGGUUUCUCCACUCUCCGCUGUUGCUGUCUAAGUUUCCAAGGCGUUUUGCACUAAAAAAAAAUAAAACACCCCUUGUUCAGCAAUUUGGAGGUUUGUGGUGUAGUUGGUGAUGGUUGGACGGACUUUUUGAGUGAUCCACUUGAGCGUCCAGAGGAAAGGUCAUCCGUAAAUAGUUUCUUUGAAUGGGCCGUCUGAGCGACUGUGCGACAUCUGUCAGCCAGACAUGAGCUCGGGGCGGCGUGAAGCGGAGGUCAUAAAAACGCUCUCAAAACAAGGAGUGCGAGGAUGAGGCUGUGGAGAAAAGCUCAAACAUUCUUCUCAUUGUUCUCAAGUCUCGAAAGACCGUGCCAGACGCUGCACAGCCAAAACAACAUCCAGAGGAAGGCGAAGGACAAAAAAAAAGUGUGGCAAAACCAGAAAGGCCAAGCCGGGAGUAUUAGACGAGGUGUGCAAGCUGGAGCGCUAGAUCACAAGAGAGCGAAAGCGGCCGGAGGAAGCCCAGUCUCUCAGACACUAGAAGAAGGAGGGGCCAGCUGCAGUGACCACGGACUACAUGACAAAAAAUGAGCUGCCAUCGUGGGCCAAACAAUUGGAAAAUACAGCAAGUGACCAUGGAAA
Cyprinus carpio carpio is the source of this 957-nucleotide long non-coding RNA. Lineage: Eukaryota; Metazoa; Chordata; Actinopteri; Cypriniformes; Cyprinidae. The record is from Ensembl.